UCUCUCUCUCUCUCUCUCUCUGAGAGGUGCAUGCUGGGAGUGUGUGUUAGUGAGAGUAUCUACUUGCGUGGUGUUUUUUACUGUUAUUUGAUUAUCAGAGCCCGAGUGCUGUAGGUGCGGACGCUCUAUUGUUUUUUGUUUUCAUUAGAAUUUAUGUUUUUUUUUUUUUUUUAAACUUUCGGGGCUUUCGGGGCAAACUUUUUUUUUCCCCCUUAACAUGCUCAAAAACUCUUGAAAAUCAGCAGACAGGUUGGAAUCUGCGGCCGUUAGGACGUCACUGUGGCUCGCCCUUCGCGUGGCACACACCCGUUACAGCGCCCCCUGGAACAUCUUGCUGCAUAGCUGAUACACAUCUCAUAUCUUACGAGUGGAAAGGCCUAAUGUUCCAAAAUGUUUCCCAUAGAGAGUGUAAAUGUUUAUGAGAAAGUCCAGUGUGGCUGGUCCCCGGGCGUGGUCCAGUGUGGCCAGUGUGGCUGGUCCCCGGGCGUGGCACAGGGCUGUCACAGCGCCCCCUGGAACUUUGUCAGAAAUAUAGCUGCACAGCUCAUCUUCACUUGCAUGUAUAUCCAUGAGAGCCAGUAUACAUUUAGAUCUCAUUGAACUAAAUGACGUUCAUCCACCUGUCAUGUGAGCUGCUUAACAGGAAGUCAGUUAUUUUGGGAUGUUUGAAAAACGCACCCAGUGGAUUUUGAUAUACUCCUCCUAGGGGAUUUGUAUGAUUUUGAUCAAACAGGGUCCAAUAUGAUCUGAAGACAUUGAGGAUGUAAAGUUGUGAAGAGAUUCUUGAUAUCUCAAACAGUUCAGCCGUGAGGAGCCCUUAAACUUAUGGUGAAUAAAAGGAAACAGGAAGUGGCUAAUAACUUCGGUGUAUAUAGCGUGAUGUACAUCAAACCUCAACUUUAUGUUAAGAGAAGAAAGCUGAUCACAUGGCCAUGACUACUGUGAGUCUCAGUCAUAGCGCCACCAACUGGCAGCAGGAAGUGUGUCACUUUUAGAAAUCUCUAAUGUUCUCCCUUACUUUCACCUGAUUUGGUUGAAAAUCAGUGAGAAUAAUGUCAGGACAUGGCUGAUGUCAAACUGUGAAGGAAUUUGUGAUAUUGUGAAUGAUGUUGCUAUUGUGAGGACAUAAUAGAAAAAAAAUAAUGUUCUUUUAUCUUAACAGUGGAAAGCCCUAAUGUUUAAAAAAAUUUUACAUAGAAAGAACAACUGGUUGUGAGUAAGUUUGCUUAGUUCCAUGAUUUUGUGAUGCUCUAACGGCUCGCAACAAAUUUUUUCAUUCAUCAGUCCACUGACUGGACAUGGUUUUGGCCUGACUCCUGCAGUACUAGACUAUGUCCACUAGAGGCUCUUUCCCCUUUAUUUUAAUUUCUUUACAAAUGGCUUCAUUUUCACAAUUCAUAUAUACAGAGUCAACCAAAAAAUGUAUAUACACUUCAGGGAAAGAAAAAUAGUAUGAUGUAAAUUAUAUUAGUAUAAUAUUAAUAAUAUUAUCAUAAUAUUAUCAGAAUAUCAUCAUAUAAAUCAAUCUAUAAUGUAUAGCAAUAAAUUUAGUAAUACAAUAUUUAUACAAAUUUUUCUUUUCCUGAAAUGUGUAUACAUUUUUUUGGGUGAUUAUAUAUAUAUAUAUAUAUAAACUGAUAUAGGAAUAUAGUUUAGAGGGAGAGUCAUUGUCCCUUUGGACAUCACUGGACAUUGCUAUGGUCUGUUUCAUUACACCCAAACUGUCACUUUUAUAUAGUUUAGAGAGAGAGGCAGUUUUCUUUUUCCCAUCAGUGGACAUUGCUGUGAUCACUUUCAGUACACCCAAAUUGUCAUUCUUGUACUUUUGGUAUUUCCCCUUUUAAUGCAUGUAGUGAUGGACCAUAGGUCGAGGGCCCGUCAUGGCUGCUUGCAGCUAUAUUUGUUUGUUGUUUUUGUUUUUUUUCCCCUUUCCUGUUUCCCCUUAGUGUAUAUUUUAAAAUACACAUAUUUCCAUUCCCCCCCUUUUUUGUUGUGUUUUUAUUUUAUUUUUGAGGUUUAGAGUGGGUAGGUGAGGUGAGUAGGUGAGUGUGUAGGUGAGUGUGUAGGUGAGUGUGUAGGUGAGUGUGUAGGUGAGUGAGUAGGUGAGUGGGUAGGUGAGUGAGUAGGUGAGGUGAGUAGGUGAGUGAGUAGGUGAGUGUGUAGGUGAGUGAGUAGGUGAGUGGUAAGGUGAGUGAGUAGGUGAGUGGGUAGGUGAGUGAGGUGAGUGAGUAGGUGAGUGGGUACGUGAGGUGAGUAGGUGAGUGGGUAGGUGAGUGAGUAGGUGAGGUGAGUAGGUGAGGUGAGUAGGUGAGUGUGUAGGUGAGUGGGUAGGUGAGGUGAGUAGGUGAGUGGUAGGUGAGUGUGUAGGUGAAAUGAAACAGCCUUUAUUUGUCACAUAUACAUUACAGCACAGUGAAAUUCUUUCUUCGCAUAUCCCAUCCAUGGAGGGGGUCAGAGCGCAGGGUCAGCCAUGAGACGGUGCCCCUGGAGCAGAGAGGGUUAAGGGUGAGGUGAGUGAGUAGGUGAGUGAGUAGGUGAGUGGGUAGGUGAGUGAGUAGGUGAGUGGGUAGGUGAGUGAGUAGGUGAGUGGGUA
This is a long non-coding RNA of Hemibagrus wyckioides, 2593 nucleotides long. RefSeq lists it as uncharacterized. The transcript is spliced from 3 exons. Lineage: Eukaryota; Metazoa; Chordata; Actinopteri; Siluriformes; Bagridae. The record is from RefSeq and is a predicted model, not a curated record.